AGAGAUUUCAUAUCUUCUUCGACUUUCAAUCUGCGCAAUAGUUGAAAUGCGCAGAAUUGUUAUCGUGCUGACAAAUCUUUUAUCGUGUCUACGCAUUUAAAUAACAAAUUACUUACAAACACUUUACUUAAAAUAUAAGAUAGCCAUUUGUUUUUAUUUUCGUAUAGAAAUGUUUUUCCGUGGAAACCGUUAAUCCUUCUGAGGGUUUUCUAAAAUGGCGUCCACGAGGUGGCAGCACCGAGUCGUCAGGUCGUCAGGUCCAGACGGAGUGACCUUUACGUCACUAAAGUGACCCAACAAUGACGACAUUGCCUUAUAAAGGCCAGUGUUCUUGACGUCUACGCAAGGUUCAUUGAUAUUACGGUAUGGUAGAUCUAUCUAUAUAAUGAAAUAUAGCAAAUCUUAAAACUGUAACUGUCUUUUCAAUAGUCUGGAAUUAAACGAGGAAUAAAUAUUAA
This is a long non-coding RNA of Helicoverpa zea (corn earworm), 458 nucleotides long. RefSeq lists it as uncharacterized. The record is from RefSeq and is a predicted model, not a curated record. NCBI's taxonomy places the organism in Eukaryota, Metazoa, Arthropoda, Insecta, Lepidoptera, Noctuidae. The transcript has 2 exons.